This 443-nucleotide ribosomal RNA is filed under the name uncultured bacterium. RNAcentral's name for it is "bacterial SSU rRNA". It matches the Rfam family "Bacterial small subunit ribosomal RNA", at positions 958 to 1398 of the family's 1533-position model. The record is from RNAcentral.
AACGCGAAGAACCUUACCAACCCUUGACAUUGGGAGUAUGGAUUCCAGAGAUGGAUUCCUUCAGUUCGGCUGGCUCCUAAACAGGUGCUGCAUGGCUGUCGUCAGCUCGUGUCGUGAGAUGUUGGGUUAAGUCCCGCAACGAGCGCAACCCUCAUCUUCAGUUGCCAUCAGUUAGGCUGGGCACUCUGAAGAAACUGCCGGUGACAAGCCGGAGGAAGGUGGGGAUGACGUCAAGUCCUCAUGGCCCUUACGGGUUGGGCUACACACGUGCUACAAUGGCGGUGACAAUGGGUUGCAAGCCUGCAAGGGUGAGCUAAUCUCAAAAAGCCGUCUCAGUUCGGAUUGCACUCUGCAACUCGAGUGCAUGAAGUCGGAAUCGCUAGUAAUCGUGGAUCAGCACGCCACGGUGAAUACGUUCCCGGGCCUUGUACACACCGCUAGUC